CUCGAAAUCCUCUGGCGGGGGGAUUCAGUCGGGAGGGGCGGAGGUGCACGCGCCGGUCGAACCGCGACGGACCCUUUUUUCCGGGGCCGGGCCGGUGGCACUGUCUCCGUCUCACCCGACGCACUUCCCUCCCGCACUAAGGACGCCGCAGCCGGUCGGGUAGCUGCGCGAGUCGGCCAUGAGGUCGGGCGCCGGCAGGUGGCCGGUGGCGUCGGUCUCGCCUUCGGGCGGGGUCCCCGCCGCCGGUUGUUAGCCAGCCCGCACCGUGGCGCGACACCCGACCGAGGUUGGAAUCGGUCCCCGCAUGGGGACCCGCCGUCCCCUUCCGCGGGCACGUCCCGCGGGAGCGGGCGCUCCGGCAGGCGUCACCGCGGCGUCGCCACGUCACUCCCCGUAGUGGCCGGUGCGCCGUGGUCGCCGUUGGUUUUUCGGAUGCGUCCCGCAGGGGCGCAGGCGGCUGGCGGCGAGUAGGUCGGUCACCCACCCGACCCGUCUUGAAACACGGACCAAGGAGUCUAACAUGUGCGCGAGUCACGGGGUCUUGAACAGGCCCAGAGGCGCAAUGAAAGUGAAGGUCGGCCUCGACGUCGACUGAGUUGGGAUUCCUCUUCCCCGCCACGUGCGAGGGGGGGGAAGCACCAACGACCCGUCCCAUCCGAUUUAUCGGUCGGGCGGAGUCUGAGCGUACACGUUGGGACCCGAAAGAUGGUGAACUAUGCCUGGGCAGGACGAAGCCAGAGGAAACUCUGGUGGAGGUCCGUAGCGGUUCUGACGUGCAAAUCGAUCGUCAGACCCGGGUAUAGG
This 804-nucleotide ribosomal RNA is filed under the name cf. Hickmanolobus sp. CASENT9023587. Its description in RNAcentral is "eukaryotic LSU rRNA". The stretch from base 506 to 804 matches the Rfam family "Eukaryotic large subunit ribosomal RNA", at positions 665 to 921 of the family's 3401-position model. The record is from RNAcentral. Lineage: Eukaryota; Metazoa; Arthropoda; Arachnida; Araneae; Orsolobidae.